CCGACACCGAUAGCUUGAUAUACCACUUUAAUGUUCCCAACGUAUACGAAUUAAUUAAGCGCGAUGUACACAGAUUCGACACUUCAGACUAUCCGUCGGAUAAUGUAUACGGUAUACCAUUAGUCAAUAAGAAAGUUCUAGGUCUGAUGAAGGAUGAAAAUAAUGGUAAAAUCAUGACGGAGUUCGUAGGACUGCGAGCGAAAUUGUAUAGUUUUCGAAUUUUAGGCGAAACUAGGGAUAGGAAGCGUGCGAAAGGAAUCAAAGGAUCUACGUUAAAGACCAUAACCUUCGAUGAUUAUCUACAGUGUCUCGAGUGUCGAAAAAAUUUGAUUAAACCUCAAAAUUUGAUUCAAAGCAAAAAGCAUGAGGUUUAUACUGUUGAGCAAAAGAAAACAGCAUUAAGUUGGAAUGAUGAUAAGAGAGUGAUUGUUGCUCAUACGACGGAUACCCUCCCAUGGGGUUAUAAAAUAUGUUAAAAUAUGUAACCGUGUGCAAGGAAAAAAAAUGAAUUUUUCAUCAUAACCUCAACGCGUACCAAUCAUCUGGAUGGCAUCAUCCAAGUGUUUAUUGUCCUGAGUGCAAUAUAUACAAUGGUCAAGUGGACCGUUCGCUCGUGUGUGCAUUUGGAUCCUAGUUUUUCUAGGAACUACAAGUGGGGUAAGCUGGAGCGAUUCAUCCGACUCGACUCAGCCGUUCGACUCAGAGUUAGAAUAGUAUACGCAACCAUGGUGCGAGGAUGUCAAAUAAUGUUGAGCCUUAACGGAUUCAUAUCGAUAAAAGAAAUGGUGGCAAAGAGGAGCCAGCGACGGGCUAGGAGGAGCGAAAACAACGGCUGGUUCCUCUUCGAGGAGGAAGAUUGGGGCGGGGAAGAUAUUUUUUCUUUGAGACAUCUUUUCGGGAUGCGUCCCGCUAGUUGGAUAUAAUUGGGACUCUGACUACGAAUCGGAGGAGGAAAUAUAUU
Molecule: long non-coding RNA, 961 nt
Organism: Cephus cinctus (wheat stem sawfly)
Lineage: Eukaryota; Metazoa; Arthropoda; Insecta; Hymenoptera; Cephidae
Exons: 3
Source: RefSeq, a predicted model, not a curated record